AUGCUUUGGAUUAGAGUAAAUGAAUCUAAUUCGUCCACGCCUACGAAUCAGUCGACAUUUUGUACAAAUUUUACUAAUGAAAUCUCUUAUUUUCAUAUUUCCUUUUUUUCACUAUGA
RNAcentral lists this ribosomal RNA (117 nucleotides) under Triticum aestivum (bread wheat). Its description in RNAcentral is "partial small subunit ribosomal RNA". The record is from RNAcentral. Lineage: Eukaryota; Viridiplantae; Streptophyta; Magnoliopsida; Poales; Poaceae.